Non-coding RNA from Ictidomys tridecemlineatus (thirteen-lined ground squirrel), 1123 nucleotides. NCBI's taxonomy places the organism in Eukaryota, Metazoa, Chordata, Mammalia, Rodentia, Sciuridae. The record is from RefSeq and is a predicted model, not a curated record.
GCUCUGUCCCAAGGGGACAUCUGGGGAGGACCCCAAGAAGACCACAGAGAUCAGUGUGUGACUAUCUUGAUUCCCCAAAGGGAAUACCAGUGAUGAUCCCCAACUGUGUUCUGCACCAUGAUUCUGAGCUCUGACCUGAGCCCGAGAUGUGUCUUGAAAGACAAGUGAGAUAGACACUCUGAUGGCCAGUAACUUUCCAGUUGUGUUGCAAUGGAACUUUCUUUUUAUGAUAAGGGAAUGUUGACAGACAGUGAAACACGCAGGUUUCCAGCACACACACUGAUGCGCUAUGGCAAACAUAUCCAGUAGUGCAUCCACCGUGUUAGUCAAGAUAGAUUUUCAUCAUUCUAGAAUGUUCUUUUGUGCUCCCUCCAUCCCACCAUAGGGAACUGCUGUUCUGAUUUCUAUGACUACAGAUUAGUCUUGCUGGUUACAGAACUUGAAGAAAUGGAAUUCUCCAGGAUGGACUUGUUGUGUUACGUGUUCCUUCACAUUGCUGAGUGGUCCAUGUAGGAAGCUACCGCCAUCUUCUUCUUCAUUCUCCUGGUUACAGAUGCCUGGGUCGUCUCCAGUUUGGGACCAAAACCAACAAUGCUGCCAUGAUCAUUCUCAUGCCACCAGGAGGUGAUCGGUGUCACCUUGCUCUCCCGCCAUGCUGGUCUGCCUCACCAACAGAGCUGAGCGACUGUGGACCGAACCCUCCGGAAUCUGCACCCAAACAAGCAUCCCCCCCCCUUUUUAAGUUGUUUACCUCAGGCACUUUACACCAAUAUGUAAAAUAUUGAUUAAUGAUCAAAAAUACCAAUUAAUGCAAGAAACGAGGCGUUAAAGCAUCAAAUUGUUGAGGCUUUCACAGAAAAGUAGCACCCAGUGAGCACUUUGGAAGGACUCCGCCAUCCCUUGGCCACAGGAAAGCCCCAGCCUAUUCCCAGAGCACAUUUGGAAGUUCUCACCCGAAGCUUCCAAAGCUUCCCACUUUUGACGGAGGAGCCUCAUUUUCCAAUUUAUCUUCCAAUAGCAGCUAAAUGAGCGCACGCAGACUUCAAUCCAGACAGCAAUUUAUAUCAGCCAGAAAUGAGGCCAACUCCUACGUAUGUAAAAAUAAGUAAACAGUUAAACAGAC